Non-coding RNA from Stegodyphus mimosarum, 75 nucleotides. Lineage: Eukaryota; Metazoa; Arthropoda; Arachnida; Araneae; Eresidae. The record is from Rfam.
GCCUUCGUGGUGUAAUGGUCAGCACACUGAGCCGGUAAAAUUCAGAGGUCCGUGGUUCGAUCCCCGGCGAAGGCA